RNAcentral lists this unclassified non-coding RNA (19 nucleotides) under Mus musculus (house mouse). Its description in RNAcentral is "oocyte_clustered_small_RNA4475". Lineage: Eukaryota; Metazoa; Chordata; Mammalia; Rodentia; Muridae. The record is from RNAcentral.
UGGCCACAAGUAUAACAAG